This 380-nucleotide ribosomal RNA is filed under the name uncultured bacterium. RNAcentral's name for it is "bacterial SSU rRNA". It matches the Rfam family "Bacterial small subunit ribosomal RNA", at positions 28 to 408 of the family's 1533-position model. The record is from RNAcentral.
GACGAACGCUGGCGGCGUGCUUAACACAUGCAAGUCGAGCGGUAAGGCCCUUUCGGGGGUACACGAGCGGCGAACGGGUGAGUAACACGUGGGUGACCUGCCCUUAGCUCUGGGAUAAGCCUGGGAAACUGGGUCUAAUACCGGAUAUGACUCCAUGACGCAUGUUGUGGGGUGGAAAGCCUUGUGCGGCUAGGGAUGGGCCCGCGGCCUAUCAGCUUGUUGGUGGGGGUGANGGCCUACCAAGGCGACGACGGGUAGCCGGCCUGAGAGGGCGACCGGCCACACUGGGACUGAGACACGGCCCAGACUCCUACGGGAGGCAGCAGUGGGGAAUCUUGCGCAAUGGGCGAAAGCCUGACGCAGCGACGCCGCGUGGGGGA